Molecule: microRNA precursor, 104 nt
Filed under: Xyrichtys novacula (pearly razorfish)
Lineage: Eukaryota; Metazoa; Chordata; Actinopteri; Labriformes; Labridae
Source: RNAcentral
ACCUGAGACAUUACCUGGUUAUAACCAGGUUAUAACCUGGUUAUAACCUGAGACAUUACCUGGUUAUAACCAGGUUAUAACCUGGUUAUAUCCUGAGAAAUUAC